CGAGAGGAGCCGAUCUCAGGGUCCACUUCAAGGUAAAUUUCUUGUACUGAUUCCGGAUCUCAAAAAUGAAUUAGAUUAAGUGAUUUUCCUAUGGGGAUUAAGCUUGUAGUUUGAAUAAAACCUGAUUAACAAAAAGCAGGGUUCUGUUUUAUAUAACAGACCUCACGUAAAUGUCAGGAAAAUCGAAUUGGUCAUUGUGAAUGGGUGAGCCAAUGUUACUUCUAAUAGCAUAUGGUUCAGUACAUGAUGGUACAUUUUAGCUUAGCUCUGAAUCCUUUUUC
This 281-nucleotide small RNA is filed under the name Arabidopsis thaliana (thale cress). RNAcentral describes it as "ATSL019500". The stretch from base 130 to 257 matches the Rfam family "Small nucleolar RNA snoR74". Lineage: Eukaryota; Viridiplantae; Streptophyta; Magnoliopsida; Brassicales; Brassicaceae. The record is from RNAcentral.